GAUUACUGUCUCGUUGGUGACCAGCGGAGGGUCAUUACCGAGUUUACAACUCCCAAACCCCUGUGAACAUACCUUAUGUUGCCUCGGCGGAUCAGCCCGCGCCCCGUAAAAAGGGACGGCCCGCCGCAGGAACCCUAAACUCUGUUUUUAGUGGAACUUCUGAGUAUAAAAAACAAAUAAAUCAAAACUUUCAACAACGGAUCUCUUGGUUCUGGCAUCGAUGAAGAACGCAGCAAAAUGCGAUAAGUAAUGUGAAUUGCAGAAUUCAGUGAAUCAUCGAAUCUUUGAACGCACAUUGCGCCCGCCAGUAUUCUGGCGGGCAUGCCUGUUCGAGCGUCAUUUCAACCCUCAAGCCCAGCUUGGUGUUGGGAGCUGCAGUCCUGCUGCACUCCCCAAAUACAUUGGCGGUCACGUCGAGCUUCCAUAGCGUAGUAAUUUACACAUCGUUACUGGUAAUCGUCGCGGCCACGCCGUUAAACCCCAACUUCUGAAUGUUGACCUCGGAUCAGGUAGGAAUACCCGCUGAACUUAAGCAUAUCU
Molecule: ribosomal RNA, 540 nt
Filed under: Fusarium graminearum
Lineage: Eukaryota; Fungi; Ascomycota; Sordariomycetes; Hypocreales; Nectriaceae
Description: eukaryotic LSU rRNA
Rfam family: 5.8S ribosomal RNA (bases 186-339)
Source: RNAcentral